Long non-coding RNA from Sphaeramia orbicularis (orbiculate cardinalfish), 188 nucleotides. RefSeq lists it as uncharacterized. Lineage: Eukaryota; Metazoa; Chordata; Actinopteri; Kurtiformes; Apogonidae. The transcript has 3 exons. The record is from RefSeq and is a predicted model, not a curated record.
AUGUAACCACAUCUAUUUGGGUCGCUGCCAAUCUAUAAACCCAAUUUGGUUUGAAUUCAACCAAUAGUUUUGCUGUUAGAGUGUUUACAAACAAGCAAACAAACUGAACCAAAAACCAAUACCCCCAGCCUCUCCUUCAGGGGUCGGGGUAAAAAUAAAUUGUAUGUCAAAAAAAAACAUUUUCUAUU